Drosophila melanogaster (fruit fly) is the source of this 249-nucleotide non-coding RNA. NCBI's taxonomy places the organism in Eukaryota, Metazoa, Arthropoda, Insecta, Diptera, Drosophilidae. The record is from Ensembl.
AUUUUAUUAAACAACAGAAAGGUAAAUAAAACUAACUCGGGAACUCAAAGAUUCGAAAAAAUGAAACAACACAAAACCAACAGCGAUCCACACCCGCUUUGAUGACUGAUGCAGUGUGACCGUUCGCAGAGAUUGGCACAAUACCAGAUUUCAGGUGUGGCCAGAACGCUAAGAAUUUAACGGUCGCACUGCGAGUUCAAACUGCUGAUGUGAAAAUUUUAUAAUUCCUAAUGAUUUUAAUGUCAUAAU